RNAcentral lists this ribosomal RNA (435 nucleotides) under uncultured bacterium. RNAcentral describes it as "bacterial SSU rRNA". It matches the Rfam family "Bacterial small subunit ribosomal RNA", at positions 29 to 507 of the family's 1533-position model. The record is from RNAcentral.
AACGAACGCUGGCGGCAGGCCUAACACAUGCAAGUCGAGCGCCCCGCAAGGGGAGCGGCGGACGGGUGGAGUAACGCGUGGGAACGUGCCCUCUUCUACGGAAUAGCCUCGGGAAACUGGGAGUAAUACCGUAUACGCCCUUAGGGGGAAAGGAUUUAUCGGAGGAGGAUCGGCCCGCGUUGGAUUAGGUAGUUGGUGGGGUAAUGGCCUACCAAGCCGACGAUCCAUAGCUGGUUUGAGAGGAUGAUCAGCCACACUGGGACUGAGACACGGCCCAGACUCCUACGGGAGGCAGCAGUGGGGGAAUCUUAGACAAUGGGCGCAAGCCUGAUCUAGCCAUGCCGCGUGAGCGAUGAAGGCCUUAGGGUUGUAAAGCUCUUUCAGGGGGGAAGGAUAAUGACUGUACCCCCAGAAGAAGCCCCGGCUAACUCCGUG